GACCGAGCAGACGACUACCCCCCCCUCCUAAGGGGCAGGUUGCAGGUUCGAAUCCUGCCGGGGUCACCA
This 69-nucleotide transfer RNA is filed under the name Pseudooceanicola antarcticus. Its description in RNAcentral is "tRNA-Arg". Lineage: Bacteria; Pseudomonadati; Pseudomonadota; Alphaproteobacteria; Rhodobacterales; Paracoccaceae. The record is from RNAcentral.